UACGUAGGUGGCGAGCGUUGUCCGGAAUCACUGGGCGUAAAGGGCGCGUAGGUGGCAGUACAAGUCGCAUGUGAAGGACCAGGGCUUAACUCUGGGGGGUCAUGCGAAACUGUACGGCUUGAGUGCAGUAGAGGAAAGCGGAAUUCCUGGUGUAGCGGUAAAAUGCGUAGAGAUCAGGAGGAACACCGGUGGCGAAGGCGGCUUUCUGGGCUGCAACUGACGCUGAGGCGCGAAAGCGUGGGGAGCAAACAGG
Molecule: ribosomal RNA, 253 nt
Filed under: Eubacteriales bacterium
Lineage: Bacteria; Bacillati; Bacillota; Clostridia; Eubacteriales
Also listed under: 1 other name
Description: partial 16S ribosomal RNA
Rfam family: Bacterial small subunit ribosomal RNA
Source: RNAcentral